RNAcentral lists this ribosomal RNA (533 nucleotides) under uncultured bacterium. RNAcentral's name for it is "partial 16S ribosomal RNA". It matches the Rfam family "Bacterial small subunit ribosomal RNA", at positions 33 to 541 of the family's 1533-position model. The record is from RNAcentral.
AGUGAACGCUGGCGGUAGGCCUAACACAUGCAAGUCGAACGGCAGCACAGUAAGAGCUUGCUCUUACGGGUGGCGAGUGGCGGACGGGUGAGGAAUACAUCGGAAUCUACUUUUUCGUGGGGGAUAACGUAGGGAAACUUACGCUAAUACCGCAUACGACCUACGGGUGAAAGCAGGGGAUCUUCGGACCUUGCGCGAUUGAAUGAGCCGAUGUCGGAUUAGCUAGUUGGCGGGGUAAAGGCCCACCAAGGCGACGAUCCGUAGCUGGUCUGAGAGGAUGAACAGCCACAAUGGAGAGGGGACACGGACCAGACUAGAAGGGGAGGAGGAAGGGGGAAAGAUGGGAGAGCAGGCGAAAGCCUAAUCAAGCCAUGCGGCGGGGGUGACGACGUAGUUGGGAGUGAAACGCUCGUUGAUGGAGAAAGAAAGCCAGAAGUUUAGUACCCCGCUGUUAUGACGGUAACCAAAGACUCAGCCCCGGCUAACUCCGAGCCAGCGGCCGGGGUAAUAACCGGAGUCGCCCCCGUCGGAAU